RNAcentral lists this ribosomal RNA (253 nucleotides) under uncultured bacterium. RNAcentral describes it as "partial 16S ribosomal RNA". It matches the Rfam family "Bacterial small subunit ribosomal RNA", at positions 524 to 776 of the family's 1533-position model. The record is from RNAcentral.
UACGUAGGUGGCAAGCGUUGUCCGGAAUUAUUGGGCGUAAAGGGCUCGUAGGCGGUCUGUCGCGUCGGGAGUGAAAACUUACAGCUUAACUGUGAGCGUGCUUCCGAUACGGGCAGACUUGAGGUAUUCAGGGGAGAACGGAAUUCCUGGUGUAGCGGUGAAAUGCGCAGAUAUCAGGAAGAACACCCGUGGCGAAGGCGGUUCUCUGGGACGGUACUGACGCUGAGACGCGAAAGCGUGGGGAGCGAACAGG